CGGCCGACGCUUGGGAGAAGCCGGGCGGUGGCGCGGCCGUGCGUCGGUGGCAGCCCCCUCACGUCAGUGUGCGCAUGCGCGCUGCCCUAUCAAACGAGGCGCGUCGCGGGCCCCGCGCCUGCGCCCCGGCGUCCUCGCGGGCCCGGCGCGCGCCCCUCGCCUCGCGCCCUCGGUCACAGUGGGGCCCGGUCCGGUCCGGGUCCCGGUGAGACCCCGGCCCAGGCCGCGCCCCGUGGCCGUCUCCGCGCCCUCGCGACAGUCUGGAGGAGGAGGAGCAGGAGGAGGCCCGAGUGUCGCCCGUCAAUGCAUCACCGCGAGGCAGCCCAGGAUGAAGAAGGCGAGCAGGACCGCCACCUCAGCGCCCAAGCCGCCGGGGACAGCUAAGAGCAAGCUGGACGGCCCCACGGGGGCCAAGCUCCCCAAGUCCGGCUCAAGCUUGCUGACCAAGGCCAAAAGCAACGAUGACCUCCUGGCUGGCGUGGCUGGAGGGGCCCCAGGGACAAGCAGCAUGAGAGGGAAGAAGCCCUGCCCGGCGGCAACCCCUGCCCCCAGCGUCCUCGCCGCGAGCGCCGCCGAGGGCAAGCCCAAGCCCGGCGCAGGGGCCAACUCCAAAAGAAACACGUCCAUAGCAGGGCAAGAGCCCGGCUC
This 648-nucleotide long non-coding RNA is filed under the name Sarcophilus harrisii (Tasmanian devil). RNAcentral describes it as "lncRNA (ENSSHAG00000024579.1)". The record is from RNAcentral. Lineage: Eukaryota; Metazoa; Chordata; Mammalia; Dasyuromorphia; Dasyuridae.